UAUUACCUACGGGGCGCAGCAGUGAGGGAUAUUGGUCAAUGGGCUUACGCCUGAACCAGCCAAGUCGCGUGAGGGAAGACUGCCCUAUGGGUUGUAAACCUCUUUUGUCAGGGAGCAACGCCGGCUACGUGUAGCCGGACUGAGAGUACCUGAAGAAAAAGCAUCGACUAACUCCGUGCCAGCAGCCGCGGUAAUACGGAGGGGGCAAGCGUUAUCCGGAUUUACUGGGUGUAAAGGGAGCGUAGACGGCAGCGCAAGUCUGGAGUGAAAUGCCGGGGCUCAACCCCGGAACUGCUUUGGAAACU
RNAcentral lists this ribosomal RNA (305 nucleotides) under uncultured bacterium. RNAcentral's name for it is "bacterial SSU rRNA". It matches the Rfam family "Bacterial small subunit ribosomal RNA", at positions 333 to 634 of the family's 1533-position model. The record is from RNAcentral.